CACAUGUAUAUGUCAUUCCAGACUAGUUUUGACCAUAUUAUUAUUAUCAUUAUUAGCCCAGAAUUAUUCAUAUGUUAAAUGAAAAUAACAAUACAAUUUACAUUAUUCCUCCCCUCAGAUGGGUAUUACAAUGCAAAAACACCUUUCCCUGCCUGAGAUUAAGCGGUGCACAGAUUCCUGCAGUGAUUUCCACUGUCCAUUCUGUGGUCCUAACCAUUUCAAGCUGACAGAGCUGGGAAGAGUGAAGCGUCACCUUAACAUGCACUUCACUAGAUCUGUCAAUGACGGUAACUUUCAAAAAUGUUGUAACAAUUUACAUAUUUGUAAGACAUUCAUUAAUAUCCUGCUACCGGUAUUUCAUUUCAGAACCCUGAUAAAAAAAAGUGCACAGACUGUGCUGAAGGUCACCGAUGAUGUGGAAUUCAUUUUUGGCUUCCUGCUUCCAGAGGAUCCGUCCUCCGUUUGUCCACUUCGUUGGUCCGUCCUUGGUGGUGGGCUCCUCCAAAACAGAGCCGAGUGUCCUGUGCUCUCACCGCCGCAUUUGAGCUCAAUUGGAACGGCCUCCGGAGCGAGCGGUUGCGUCAUGUACGCAUGGAUCUAAUGUAUUAUGUACUUGUCAAAUCAUAUAAUAAAAUGUCAAUCUAUGCUUACAAAAACUACUGUUUUAUGAAUAAAAGCUCUUUAUAAACUGGUUUUGGUCUUACUGUUUAAACAUUUUGGCAAUAAUAAAAUAACAAUUCUGCAAGGAUUUGUAAGAAAUUCAAUCCAAAUAUUAAAUAUAUUUAGCAGGCCCAGUUUAGUGCUCAUAGCUACAAUCGGUCAAAAAAUUGUGUCGUCGCAUUCGGCCCACAGGAGCGCGCCAUUGUGGAGGUGGCGUGAUUAUCGCUUACCGCUACACAGAAAAGUUUGCAGUAAGAAAAUGGUGAACAGUUGUUACGUGAAAAGUUGCUGUAGCAAUUCUGACCAAAAAAUACACCAACAACUACGUUUCCAUAGGUUUCCUAGUUGGAAAAUAUGCCAUGGAGGGCAGGUUAAGCAAUUACCAGGGAACGCCAGUCAGCCGUGGGGCGCAAUGAUUUCCUUCUGG
Molecule: long non-coding RNA, 1087 nt
Filed under: Neogobius melanostomus (round goby)
Lineage: Eukaryota; Metazoa; Chordata; Actinopteri; Gobiiformes; Gobiidae
Description: lncRNA (ENSNMLG00000024623.1)
Source: RNAcentral